GCAAGAAGAAGACGCAAUGGCAAAAACUACAAAAGCGCAACGGUUGCAAUUGUGACUGUUGCUUCUUCUUCUCGCGGCCCGAUUCCAUCUCACUUACUCACUAACUCACACAAACGCGCGGUAAUUACAAUUAAAAGUAGUUUUUUACAGCCGAAAAGAAACAAAGAAAUCGAUAGAUAUUGCUGGAAAUGAGGGGAAAAAUCUCUGCGCCUUGGUAAUUGCACCAGUAAAAAAAAGAAAAAAGACGAAGAUGGAAUGGAAUGGAAAAAAAUUGUUACAGCCGCCGAGUGGAAGAAGAAGAGAUGCACAACAGACGACGCGACGCGUCGAGAGCGGCGACAAGCGCAUGAAUUUUACGCUCUCUCAUCAAUUGCGCGUCGUAGCGGCGGUGUGUGUGUAAGAGCAGACCAGCAUAUCAGAGAAAGAGUGGCCCGGCUAGAAAAACGUGUGUCCAAGCACUGCCAACUGUGAGUGUGUGCACCGAAUGAGAAGAGAGCGAGUGGAGCGAGGAAGAUGGAGGCAGACAGAUGAGUUGACACAGCGACCGAAGCAGAGCAAAAACCAAUCAAAGAGGAAGAGCCGCAAAUGGGGAUACCGUUGCAUAUGUGCACUGUAUCUAUGUGAGUGCUACUUUAGACUAUCAAUAUAGAAAUAUUGAUGACAGCUACAGUGCAGCUUGGACCAAGAACACCAAAUUUGUUAUAAAAAGAAAAAGAUUGCACUCGAGUUGUUGGUUGUUUUGCAGCACAGAUUAAAUUUGUAGAAAAAACGAGGAGAAAUUUUAUCUGCAACAGAAUCGUCUUCUCAAACCUGCGGAUGUUUUGCUAGAUUUUCGAGUAGUUUUCCUGUUUAUUUCUUAAAUUAAAAUCGAGCCAUUGAAAUAAACCUAAUCGAAAAAUAAGAC
This is a non-coding RNA of Drosophila melanogaster (fruit fly), 904 nucleotides long. The record is from Ensembl. Lineage: Eukaryota; Metazoa; Arthropoda; Insecta; Diptera; Drosophilidae.